GACGAACGCUGGCGGCGUGCUUAACACAUGCAAGUCGAACGGAAAGGCCCUGCUUUUGUGGGGUGCUCGAGUGGCGAACGGGUGAGUAACACGUGAGUAACCUGCCCUUGACUUUGGGAUAACUUCAGGAAACUGGGGCUAAUACCGGAUAGGAGCUCCUGCUGCAUGGUGGGGGUUGGAAGGUUUCGGCGGUUGGGGAUGGACUCGCGGCUUAUCAGCUUGUUGGUGGGGUAGUGGCUUACCAAGGCUUUGACGGGUAGCCGGCCUGGGAGGGUGACCGGCCACAUUGGGACUGAGAUACGGCCCAGACUCCUACGGGAGGCAGCAGUGGGGUAUAUAGCACAAUGGGCGGAAGCCUGGUGCAGCAACGCCGCGUGCGGGAUGACAGCCUUCGGGUUGUAAACCGCUUUCGCCUGUGACGAAGCGUGAGUGACGGUAAUGGGUAAAGAAGCACCGGCUAACUACGUG
This 468-nucleotide ribosomal RNA is filed under the name uncultured bacterium. RNAcentral describes it as "partial 16S ribosomal RNA". It matches the Rfam family "Bacterial small subunit ribosomal RNA", at positions 28 to 507 of the family's 1533-position model. The record is from RNAcentral.